This 457-nucleotide ribosomal RNA is filed under the name Meta ovalis. Its description in RNAcentral is "partial 16S ribosomal RNA". It matches the Rfam family "Bacterial large subunit ribosomal RNA", at positions 1832 to 2601 of the family's 2925-position model. The record is from RNAcentral. Lineage: Eukaryota; Metazoa; Arthropoda; Arachnida; Araneae; Tetragnathidae.
UGUUNAAAGUAUUAAUUUUAAAUAUAACCUGCUCAAUGUGGGAUCAACUCCCAUAAAUAGCCGCAGAAUAUUAACUGUGCUAAGGUAGCAUAAUCAUUUGCCUCUUAAUUGUAGACUAGAAUGAAAGGUAAAACAGUUUAUUUCCUUUUUUAAUAUUAAUUGAAUAAAAAUUAUACUAAGUAUAAAAAUAUACUUAUAACCUAAUUAGACGACAAGACCCUAUCGAACUUUACUUAAGUUUAGCUGGGACAGCUAAUUAAUUAAAAUUUUAAUUAAAUUUGUACAAAAAAUGAUCCAGCCCAACUGAUAAUUUGAUUAAGUUACCGUAGGGAUAACAGCGUAAUUUAUUUUUAAAGUUCUUAUUUAAAAAUAAGAUUGCGACCUCGAUGUUGAAUUAAUUUUCUUUUGCGAGCAAAAUCACAAACAGCAGGUCUGUUCGACCUUUAAAAUUUUACAU